This 2392-nucleotide ribosomal RNA is filed under the name Listeria monocytogenes. Its description in RNAcentral is "partial 23S ribosomal RNA". It matches the Rfam family "Bacterial large subunit ribosomal RNA", at positions 408 to 2798 of the family's 2925-position model. The record is from RNAcentral. Lineage: Bacteria; Bacillati; Bacillota; Bacilli; Caryophanales; Listeriaceae.
CUGAGUACGGCGGAACACGUGAAAUUCCGUCGGAAUCCGGGAGGACCAUCUCCCAAGGCUAAAUACUCCCUAGUGACCGAUAGUGAACCAGUACCGUGAGGGAAAGGUGAAAAGCACCCCGGAAGGGGAGUGAAACAGUUCCUGAAACCGUGUGCCUACAAGUAGUUAGAGCCCGUUAAUGGGUGAUAGCGUGCCUUUUGUAGAAUGAACCGGCGAGUUACGAUUUGUUGCAAGGUUAAGCGGAAAAAGCGGAGCCGUAGCGAAAGCGAGUCUGAAUAGGGCGCAUAAGUAACAGGUCGUAGACCCGAAACCAGGUGAUCUACCCAUGUCCAGGAUGAAGGUAAGGUAAUACUUACUGGAGGUCCGAACCCACGCACGUUGAAAAGUGCGGGGAUGAGGUGUGGGUAGCGGAGAAAUUCCAAUCGAACUUGGAGAUAGCUGGUUCUCUCCGAAAUAGCUUUAGGGCUAGCCUCGAGGUAAAGAGUCAUGGAGGUAGAGCACUGUUUGGACUAGGGGCCCUUCUCGGGUUACCGAAUUCAGAUAAACUCCGAAUGCCAUGUACUUAUACUCGGGAGUCAGACUGCGAGUGAUAAGAUCCGUAGUCGAAAGGGAAACAGCCCAGACCACCAGUUAAGGUCCCCAAAUAUAUGUUAAGUGGAAAAGGAUGUGGGGUUGCUUAGACAACCAGGAUGUUGGCUUAGAAGCAGCCACCAUUGAAAGAGUGCGUAAUAGCUCACUGGUCGAGUGACCCCGCGCCGAAAAUGUACCGGGGCUAAACAUAUUACCGAAACUGUGGAUGAACCUCUUUAGAGGUUCGUGGUAGGAGAGCGUUCUAAGGGCGGUGAAGUCAGACCGGAAGGACUGGUGGAGCGCUUAGAAGUGAGAAUGCCGGUAUGAGUAGCGAAAGAAGGGUGAGAAUCCCUUCCACCGAAUAUCUAAGGUUUCCUGAGGAAGGCUCGUCCGCUCAGGGUUAGUCGGGACCUAAGCCGAGGCCGAUAGGCGUAGGCGAUGGACAACAGGUAGAGAUUCCUGUACCAGUGCUAAUUGUUUAACCGAUGGGGUGACACAGAAGGAUAGGGAAUCGCACGAAUGGAAAUGUGCGUCCAAGCAGUGAGUGUGAGAAGUAGGCAAAUCCGCUUCUCGCGAAGCAUGAGCUGUGAUGGGGAAGGAAAUUAAGUACGGAAGUUCCUGAUUUCACGCUGUCAAGAAAAGCCUCUAGGAAGAGUAGUACUGCCCGUACCGCAAACCGACACAGGUAGAUGAGGAGAGAAUCCUAAGGUGAGCGAGAGAACUCUCGUUAAGGAACUCGGCAAAAUGACCCCGUAACUUCGGGAGAAGGGGUGCUCUAUUAGGGUGCAAGCCCGAGAGAGCCGCAGUGAAUAGGCCCAGGCGACUGUUUAGCAAAAACACAGGUCUCUGCAAAACCGUAAGGUGACGUAUAGGGGCUGACGCCUGCCCGGUGCUGGAAGGUUAAGAGGAGUGCUUAGCUUCGGCGAAGGUACGAAUUGAAGCCCCAGUAAACGGCGGCCGUAACUAUAACGGUCCUAAGGUAGCGAAAUUCCUUGUCGGGUAAGUUCCGACCCGCACGAAAGGCGCAACGAUCUGGGCACUGUCUCAACGAGAGACUCGGUGAAAUUAUAGUACCUGUGAAGAUGCAGGUUACCCGCGACAGGACGGAAAGACCCCGUGGAGCUUUACUGCAACCUGAUAUGGAAUGUUUGUACCGCUUGUACAGGAUAGGUAGGAGCCGAAGAGACGUGUGCGCUAGCAUACGAGGAGGCAAUGGUGGGAUACUACCCUGGCUGUAUGACCAUUCUAACCCGCCACGCUUAGCGCGUGGGGAGACAGUGUCAGGUGGGCAGUUUGACUGGGGCGGUCGCCUCCUAAAGAGUAACGGAGGCGCCCAAAGGUUCCCUCAGAAUGGAUGGAAAUCAUUCGCAGAGUGUAAAGGCACAAGGGAGCUUGACUGCGAGACUGACAAGUCGAGCAGGGACGAAAGUCGGGCUUAGUGAUCCGGUGGUUCCGCAUGGAAGGGCCAUCGCUCAACGGAUAAAAGCUACCCCGGGGAUAACAGGCUUAUCUCCCCCAAGAGUCCACAUCGACGGGGAGGUUUGGCACCUCGAUGUCGGCUCGUCGCAUCCUGGGGCUGUAGUCGGUCCCAAGGGUUGGGCUGUUCGCCCAUUAAAGCGGCACGCGAGCUGGGUUCAGAACGUCGUGAGACAGUUCGGUCCCUAUCCGUCGCGGGCGCAGGAAAUUUGAGAGGAGCUGUCCUUAGUACGAGAGGACCGGGAUGGACACACCGCUGGUGUACCAGUUGUUCCGCCAGGAGCAUCGCUGGGUAGCUAUGUGUGGCAGGGAUAAACGCUGAAAGCAUCUAAGCGUGAAGCCCCCC